AUGUUCCAGCUCCUCGUUUGCUUUAUUUCUGGAAAAAUAAAGCGAGCAGCACGCAUACAGAGGGAAGGGGGCGGGGGACAGCGCGCUGCUGUGGUCACUGCGAAUCCUCUGUCCGAGCCUUAGACCCAGUGCUUGGGAGAGAAUGAGUAACACCAGUGAAAGCCAAUGCACUCAAAUACCUUUAUUCUCAGUCCUUCUAAAAUUUUACUCGAUAACUUCAGAUUUCUCAGUCAGACACAAGCAUUCUCUAACAGAAAACCAAGUUGUUUUCUGCUCAGCAAUAUUGCUUUUGUUGUUCGGGGCAUUUAAUAACGUAUUGAUUCUCGUUGUGCCUACACCAGAGUGCUGUAUCGUUACUUCGCGUCUCUUCAGCUCCGUUCUCCUUUCUUUCUUUCCUUUUUUCUUUCUCUCUUCCUUCCUUCCUUCCUUCCUUCCUUCCUUCCUUCCUUCCUUCCUUCCUUCCUUCCUUCCUUCCUUCCUUCCUUCCUUCCUUCCUUCCUUCCUCACCACCUUCCUUUCCUUCCUUCCUUCCUUCCUUUCCCUUCCUCCUUCCUUCCUUCCUCCUUCCUUCCUUCUUCCUUCCUUCCUUCCUUCCUUUCCUUCCUUCCUUCCUGUUUCCUUGCUUUCCUUCCUGUCUUCCUUCCUUCCUUCCUUCCUUCCUGGCCUUCCUUUCCUUCCUUCCUUCCUUCCUUCCUUCCUUCCUUCCUUCCUUCCUUCCCUUCUUUUUCUUUUCUUUCUUUCUUGCUUUUCUUUCUUUCUUUCUUUCUUUCUUUCUUUCUUUUUUCUUUCUUUCUUUCUAUUCUUUGUUUCUUUUCUUUCUGGUCUUUCUUUCUUGCUUUUCUUUUCUUUCUUUCUUUCUUUCUUUCUUUCUUUCUUCUUUCUUUCUUUCUGUUUCUCUCUCUCUCUCUCUCCUAUUUUCCUUCUUUUCUUCCUCUCUUCCUUUUUCUCCCUUUCAGUUUUCCUUUCUCCCUUUCCUGUCCUCAUAUUUAUUUUCUCUUUUCACAUUCUUUUUCUCUCCUCCUUUCUCCCUUUCUUUUCUUCCUUUCUUUCUACUCUCCCUGUUAUGUCACCCCUCCUUUCUCUCCUUCUCUCAGCACCAGAAGGAUCGCACCUCAUACAGCAUACCAGGAUUUAUCGCUCCGUCGCUUGUGCGGACUUGUGA
RNAcentral lists this long non-coding RNA (1162 nucleotides) under Coturnix japonica (Japanese quail). Its description in RNAcentral is "lncRNA (ENSCJPG00005000133.1)". The record is from RNAcentral. Lineage: Eukaryota; Metazoa; Chordata; Aves; Galliformes; Phasianidae.